UUCCCCUCUCUCGAUCUUUCCCUCCGUGUACAUGGAUCACAAAAAUGAGGGAGAUAUAGAGGGAGAGCGGGAGAGAGACCAUGGGGGAGGCAUAUAAAAUUCACAUUUGCUUCCCGUUUCACAAUAAAUUUUUAGCGGAAGCAUCUGUACUUGAGUACUACCCCCAUCCUCCCACUGGAAACCAUGUGAUCGGAUUUUAAAC
This is a non-coding RNA of Caenorhabditis elegans, 202 nucleotides long. NCBI's taxonomy places the organism in Eukaryota, Metazoa, Nematoda, Chromadorea, Rhabditida, Rhabditidae. The record is from Ensembl.